RNAcentral lists this transfer RNA (65 nucleotides) under Losaria neptunus. RNAcentral's name for it is "tRNA-Arg". The record is from RNAcentral. Lineage: Eukaryota; Metazoa; Arthropoda; Insecta; Lepidoptera; Papilionidae.
AAGUAAGAAGCAAUUAUUGCAUUUAAUUUCGACUUAAAAGAAAGAGUUAAUCAACUCCUUAUUUA